ACACGUAGGGGCCUGACGUUGUUCGGAAUCAUUGGGCGUAAAGGGCGCGCAGGCGGCCGUCCAAGUCCGGUGUUAAAUGGUCGGGCUCAACCCGAUCAUGCGCUGGAAACUGGGCGGCUGGAGUCCCGGAGGGGAUGCCGGAAUUCCAGGUGUAGGGGUGAAAUCUGUAGAUAUCUGGAAGAACACCGAUGGCGAAGGCAGGCAUCUGGCCGGAGACUGACGCUGAGGCGCGAAGGCGCGGGGAGCGAACAGGUUUAGAUACCCUGGUAGUCCGCGCAGUAAACGAUGCGCACCAGGUGUCGGGCGGCAGCGCCCGGUACCGGAGCAAACGCGAUGAGUGCGCCGCCUGGGGAGUAUGCCCGCAAGGGUGAAACUUAAAGGAAUUGACGGGG
Molecule: ribosomal RNA, 392 nt
Filed under: uncultured bacterium
Lineage: Bacteria
Description: partial 16S ribosomal RNA
Rfam family: Bacterial small subunit ribosomal RNA
Source: RNAcentral